AUUGAACGCUGGCGGCAGGCCUAACACAUGCAAGUCGAACGGUAACAGGGAUCAGCUUGCUGAUUCGCUGACGAGUAGCGGACGGGUGUGUAAUGUCUGGGAAACUGCCUGAUGGAGGGGGAUAACUACUGGAAACGGUAGCUAAUACCGCAUAACGUCGCAAGACCAAAGAGGGGGACCUUCGGGCCUCUUGCCAUCGGAUGUGCCCAGAUGGGAUUAGCUAGUAGGUGGGGUAACGGCUCACCUAGGCGACGAUCCCUAGCUGGACUGGGAGGAUGACCAGCCAAACGGGAACUGAGACACGGUCCAGACUCCUACGGGAGGCAGCAGUGGGGAAUAUUGGACAUUGGGCACAAGCUUGAUGCAGCCAUGCCGCGUGUAUGAAGAAGGCCUUCGGGUUUAAAAGUACGUUCAGCGGGGAGGAAGGGAGUAAAGUUAAUACCUUUGCUCAUUGACGUUACCCGCAGAAGAAGCAACGGCUAACUCCGUG
This 490-nucleotide ribosomal RNA is filed under the name uncultured bacterium. RNAcentral describes it as "partial 16S ribosomal RNA". It matches the Rfam family "Bacterial small subunit ribosomal RNA", at positions 30 to 507 of the family's 1533-position model. The record is from RNAcentral.